CAAUAGCGUAUAUUAAAGUUGUUGCGGUAAAAAAGCUCGUAGUUGGAUUUCUGCUGAGAGCGACCGGUCCAUACCAUGUAUGCGUAUCUGGCUUGCUCUCGGCAUCCUCUCGAUAGACGUUACUGCGCUUGAUUGCGUGGUGCGGAUCUCGGGACUUUUACUUUGAGGAAAUUAGAGUGUUCACAGCAGGCUUUCGCCAGAAUACAUUAGCAUGGAAUAAUACUAUAGGAUCUUGGUUCUAUUUUGUUGGUUUCUAGAAUUGAGAUAAUGAUUAAUAGGGACAAUUGGGGGCAUUCGUAUCAACACGUCAGAGGUGGAAUUCUUGGAUUGUGUUGCGACGAACUACUGCGAAAGCAUUUGCCAAGGAUGUUUUCAUUGA
Molecule: ribosomal RNA, 379 nt
Filed under: uncultured eukaryote
Lineage: Eukaryota
Description: partial 18S ribosomal RNA
Rfam family: Eukaryotic small subunit ribosomal RNA
Source: RNAcentral